This 771-nucleotide long non-coding RNA is filed under the name Pan troglodytes (chimpanzee). RNAcentral's name for it is "long non-coding RNA NONPTRT003140". The record is from RNAcentral. Lineage: Eukaryota; Metazoa; Chordata; Mammalia; Primates; Hominidae.
CGGCGCAGGCGGCCGACCGGGAGCGCGGACAACGCGGCUGCGGCUAACCCGCCGCCCGGCCGGCUGAGACCCUCGCGCCCCUGCUCCUGGGGCCCCCGCCCCCUCGCCGUCUCCGCCUCCUUCCUCACACACCCCCAGGCCGCCCGGGCCGCCCGGGCCCCAAGCCUUCCCGGUGCUCCUCCCUCUUCUCCUCACACUCGCUCUCUGGCUGGGGUCCGCCUGCCGCCCGCUGGCCUGCUCCCUCCGGGGCAAGUCCUGCUUCUUAAGCGCUCCUUUCACACACGCGCGCGCUCGCUGGGCCGUCCCCUCCUCUCCGGCCCUCCUCCUCCUCCUGGUCCUUGCUAACGCUGCCGUCGGGGAGGAUUGAUGUCCCUUCAGCAUCAUGCAGCCGCCGCCGAGGAAGGUGAAAGUUACACAAGAACUGAAAAACAUUCAAGUUGAGCAGAUGACAAAACUUCAAGCCAAACAUCAAGCAGAAUGUGAUUUGCUUGAAGAUAUGAGGACAUUCAGUCAGAAGAAGGCUGCUAUUGAAAGAGAGUAUGCACAGGGUAUGCAGAAGUUGGCUAGUCAAUACCUGAAGAGAGAUUGGCCUGGAGUAAAAGCUGAUGAUCGGAAUGAUUACAGGAGCAUGUAUCCCGUUUGGAAAUCUUUUCUCGAGGGAACAAUGCAGGUAGCCCAGUCUCGGAUGAAUAUAUGUGAAAACUAUAAAAACUUCAUUUCUGAGCCUGCAAGGACAGUGAGAAGCUUAAAAGAACAGCAACUAAAAAGGGU